CCUGGCUCAGGAUGAACGCUGGCGGCGUGCUUAACACAUGCAAGUCGAACGGUGAACACGGAGCUUGCUCUGUGGGAUCAGUGGCGAACGGGUGAGUAACACGUGAGCAACCUGCCCCUGACUCUGGGAUAAGCGCUGGAAACGGCGUCUAAUACUGGAUAUGUGACGCGACCGCAUGGUCUGUGUCUGGAAAGAAUUUCGGUUGGGGAUGGGCUCGCGGCCUAUCAGCUUGUUGGUGAGGUAAUGGCUCACCAAGGCGUCGACGGGUAGCCGGCCUGAGAGGGUGACCGGCCACACUGGGACUGAGACACGGCCCAGACUCCUACGGGAGGCAGCAGUGGGGAAUAUUGCACAAUGGGCGCAAGCCUGAUGCAGCAACGCCGCGUGAGGGACGACGGCCUUCGGGUUGUAAACCUCUUUUAGCAGGGAAGAAGCGAAAGUGACGGUACCUGCAGAAAAAGNCCGGCUAA
This 470-nucleotide ribosomal RNA is filed under the name Microbacterium sp. B3_1_cr. RNAcentral describes it as "bacterial SSU rRNA". It matches the Rfam family "Bacterial small subunit ribosomal RNA", at positions 18 to 500 of the family's 1533-position model. The record is from RNAcentral. Lineage: Bacteria; Bacillati; Actinomycetota; Actinomycetes; Micrococcales; Microbacteriaceae.